AGAGUUUGAUCCUGGCUCAGAACGAACGCUGGCGGCAUGGCUAAGACAUGCAAGUCGAACGGAUUAUAUGAUUGGGUAACCGAGAUUAUAGUUAGUGGCGAAAGGGUGAGGAACAAAUAGGUAACGUACCCCGGUCUUUGGGAUAGCGUCUCGAAAGAGGCGGUAAUACCAGAUGACGUCAAUUGUCUCAAGGCAGUUGAUCAAAGAUUUAUCGGACUGGGAGCGGCCUAUUUCCUAUCAGCUUGUUGGUGAGGUAAUGGCUCACCAAGGCUUCGACGGGUAGCGGGACUGAGAGGUUGGCCCGCCACAUCGGAACUGAGACACUGUCCGGACCUCCACGGAGGGCUGCAGUAACGAAUAUUGGGCAAUGAGCGAAAGCUUGACCCAGCAAUGCCGCGUGUAGGAUGAAGCUCCUCGGAGUGUAAACUACUGUCAGGGCUAAGAAAGUAUGUUUCGGCAUAUUGAUCUAACCCAGAGGAAGUCACGGCUAACUUCGUGCCAGCAGCCGCGGUAAUACGAAGGUGGCAAGCGUUGUUCGGAAUCACUGGGCUUAAAGCGCACGUAGGCGGAAUAGCAAGUGUCUUGUGAAAUCCCCCGGCUUAACCGGGGAAUUGCUCGGCAAACUGCUAUUCUUGAGGCAAGUAGGGGUACAUGGAACUCUUGGUGGAGCGGUGGAAUGCGUAGAUAUCAAGAGGAACGCCAAUGGUGAAGACAGUGUACUGGGCUUGUACUGACGCUGAGGUGCGAAAGCGUGGGGAGCGAACGGGAUUAGAUACCCCGGUAGUCCACGCCGUAAACGAUGUCUACUAGGUUGUGGGUGUUCUGACACAUUCACAGUCGCAGCAAAAGUAUUAAGUAGACCGCCUGGGGAGUACGGUCGCAAGGCUAAAACUCAAAGGAAUUGACGGGGGCUCACACAAGCGGUGGAGCAUGUGGAUUAAUUCGAAUCAACGCGCAGAACCUUACCUGGGUUUGACAUGUAUGGAUGCCUAUCUGGAAACAGAGUCGGUUACCUUUCGGGGUGAAACUUACACAGGUGCUGCAUGGCUGUCGUCAGCUCGUGUCGUGAGAUGUCGGGUUAAGUCCUUUAACGAGCGAAACCCUUGCCGUUAGUUGCCAGCGAGUAAUGUCGGGGACUCUAGCGGGACUGCCGGUGUUAAACCGGAGGAAGGCGGGGAUGACGUCAAGUCCUCAUGGCCUUUAUGCCCAGGGCUUCACACGUGCUACAAUGGUAACUACAGAGCGAUGCAAGACCGCGAGGUGGAGCAAAUCGCAAAAAAGUUGCCUCAGUUCGGAUUGUAGGCUGACAACUCGCCUACAUGAAGUUGGAAUCGCUAGUAAUCGCGUAUCAGCUAUGACGUGGUGAAUGUGUUCCUGAGCCUUGUACACACCGCCCGUCAAGUGAUGGAAGUCGGGAGCACCCGAAGUCGGAUUGCUAACCUCUUAUAAGGAGGCGUCUGCCGACGGUGAGUUCGAUGACUGGCACUAAGUCGAAACAAGGUA
Molecule: ribosomal RNA, 1503 nt
Filed under: metagenome
Description: bacterial SSU rRNA
Rfam family: Bacterial small subunit ribosomal RNA
Source: RNAcentral